AGAGUUUGAUCCUGGCUCAGAGCGAACGCUGGCGGCAUGCUUAACACAUGCAAGUCGCACGGUCAGCAAUGGCAGUGGCGGACGGGUGAGUAACGCGUAGGAAUCUAUCUCUGGGUGGGGGACAACCGUGGGAAACUACGGCUAAUACCGCAUGAUACCUGAGGGUCAAAGGCGUAAGUCGCCUGGAGAGGAGCCUGCGUCUGAUUAGCUAGUUGGUGGGGUAAAGGCUUACCAAGGCGACGAUCAGUAGCUGGUCUGAGAGGAUGAUCAGCCACAUUGGGACUGAGACACGGCCCAAACUCCUACGGGAGGCAGCAGUGGGGAAUAUUGGACAAUGGGCGCAAGCCUGAUCCAGCAAUGCCGCGUGUGUGAAGAAGGUCUUCGGAUUGUAAAGCACUUUUGGCAGGGACGAUGAUGACGGUACCUGCAGAAUAAGCCC
RNAcentral lists this ribosomal RNA (439 nucleotides) under uncultured bacterium. RNAcentral's name for it is "bacterial SSU rRNA". It matches the Rfam family "Bacterial small subunit ribosomal RNA", at positions 8 to 493 of the family's 1533-position model. The record is from RNAcentral.